GGUCAUUCGCGCGGACAUUGUGAGAUCCUAACCCGACGGUGUUUGGCAUGGGUCUUGCUUACCCCUUUACCCAACCCAUGCUUACCCCUUUACUCAACCCAUCGUUGGCUGUGGCGGAGGCGACCGGAGUUGCUGCGGCGGCGGAGGCGACCCAGGUGCGAUGGAGGCGCAGACGGCCCCUGUGCGGCGGCAACGGCGGCGACGGCGGCGGCGGCGGCCAUGGGCGAACCUAAAGGGUGGUCAAGGCUAUCUCGCUCGGGCAACCGGAAGGACGCCGGCCAGCUACGCAUCUACACGGGAGACCAACAGGGCGUCGGCGUCCCCGCCCAGGCGCUCGGCCGCGCGGCGCUGUCCUCGCCCCGCUCUCAACCGGGCGGCGCCCGUCCUCGGCCCCACCGGCAGUGGGUGUCGCUGCCCCUCCACACGCUAGGCCAGGUGCGGCCUCUCCCGGUCAGACGGUGACCGGAUGGGCAUCCCUGGCGCCCCUUCCUGUCACGGGCGGCAUUCCCAGCCGAUGCCUCUUCUUUCUUUUUUUUUGGGUGCACCAUCUAGACGCAACGAUGUGAUCCUGGAUGUACAGAGCGACAGACGAAUUAACUGUAUUAAGAAGUUUGAUCUUGUUGUUAGCAGAGAGGAAGAAGGGGAAUCGGGGAUCGGCUAGCAACAAGAUCGGGACGGGAAGAGGGACAGAGUUGGUGGGAAGCUGGCCGACGAGGACAGCUUCAGAAUCGCUUUCUCCAGGAUCCCCGGAGUACCGAGGGCAGAGCUCGUCGGUGUUCAAGUCGGCGAUGAGGAAGCAGCUCGUGGACGAAGGCUACAGGAUCCGCGGGAACGUCGGGGACCAGUGGACCGACCUGCAGGGCGACUGCGCCGGCGACCGCGUGUUCAAGAUACCCAAUCCCAUGUACUUCGUCCCCUGAGGCGAUUUUUUUUUUCAGCCUUGACCUGCCUGACUGUAUUCAUCAGGAAUUCAGGAUAUAAAAAAACUAUGUAGUGAAAAAAAAACGUUGUGUAAACGGAUGGCUAACGUGGAAGAAGCUUAGGCCGUAAAGCAGAUAUAAUCGUCGACGACGAAGAA
This is an RNA transcript of Panicum virgatum (switchgrass), 1078 nucleotides long. It is a transcript of the gene named vegetative storage protein 2-like, with no coding region annotated. The transcript is spliced from 3 exons. The record is from RefSeq and is a predicted model, not a curated record. Lineage: Eukaryota; Viridiplantae; Streptophyta; Magnoliopsida; Poales; Poaceae.